Molecule: long non-coding RNA, 512 nt
Organism: Stegodyphus dumicola
Lineage: Eukaryota; Metazoa; Arthropoda; Arachnida; Araneae; Eresidae
Source: RefSeq, a predicted model, not a curated record
CCUCAUGACUUAUGUAUUACACAAUAUUCAAUGUAAAGGUUGACUACUGAAAGCGCAGUUUCAUUUAAAAAAAUUCGGAUACAAAAAUUUUCAGUUUAAGAUAAAAAUUACGAAAAGCAAUAUGUUAUUCCAAAAUAGAAAGCUAUUUUAUAAUAUGAAGAAAUGUUCAUGUGUUGGGUGGAGAAUCCAAAUAGAAACAAAUAUACAGAUUUGAUUUAUCAUCAAUCGCAUGGAAGAUUAAAGAAUGAAUUGAAAGGAACGUUGAAUCUGAAAGGAACGUUUAGCAAUUCAAAGCAGCAAUAUAUAAAGUUUAAUAUGACUAUAAUAAAGGUGCUAAAGAAAAAGUACGUAUGAGAAGAGAUUACAGGACAAUACUCUGAGACUCAUAUGUAUGAUUUGUGCACUUCUUGUGAAUCAUCAAUUCUGAUUUAAUUUUUACUUCAGGAUUAUUUAAAGCUAUUUCGCAGCAUGUUGUACGAAACUAGCAAAAUAAAAUAAUCUUAAUUUUGAAA